This 474-nucleotide ribosomal RNA is filed under the name uncultured Campylobacterota bacterium. RNAcentral's name for it is "bacterial SSU rRNA". It matches the Rfam family "Bacterial small subunit ribosomal RNA", at positions 89 to 583 of the family's 1533-position model. Lineage: Bacteria; Pseudomonadati; Campylobacterota. The record is from RNAcentral.
AAGUUAGUGGCGCACGGGUGAGUAACACGUAGCUAAUCUGCCCUAUACUGGGGGACAACAGUUGGAAACGACUGCUAAUACCCCAUACUCCGGUAUUACUUAAGUAGUAUCGGGAAAGUUUUUCGGUAUAGGAUGAGGCUGCGGUCUAUCAGCUUGUUGGUGAGGUAAUGGCUCACCAAGGCUAUGACGGAUAGCUGGUCUGAGAGGAUGAUCAGCCACACUGGAACUGAGACACGGUCCAGACUCCUACGGGAGGCAGCAGUGGGGAAUUUUACACAAUGGGCGAAAGCCUGAUGUAGCAACGCCGCGUGGAGGAUGAAGGAUUUAGGUCUGUAAACUCCUUUUAUAGGGGAAGAAAUUUGACGGUACCCUAUGAAUAAGCACCGGCUAACUCCGUGCCAGCAGCCGCGGUAAUACGGGGGGUGCAAGCGUUACUCGGAAUCACUGGGCGUAAAGGGAGCGUAGGCGUUCUAU